CUACCUGAUAUUUAAUGAGGUUCUGCAUAGUCAGGCCACUCAAAUGGCUGUUGUCUUGCUCUGUGUACACCCCCUGGCCCACCAGAGCCUGCUUCACCCUGCAAAGAGCUGACCUUCUAGGAAGGUACUUGCCCCAGGUCCCAGCUGGUGAUUGUUCUCAUCAAAGGGACGGUGAGGGGCGUGCCCUCUACUGGUUUCCCUGGUAACUAGUGAGCCUGCUGCUGCUGCUAAGUCGCUUCAGUCGUGUCCGACUCUGCGACCCCAUAGACAGCAGCCCACCAGGAUCCCCUAUCCCUGGGAUUCUCCAGGCAAGAUCACUGGAGUGGGUUGCCAUUUCCUUCUCCAGUGCAUGAAAAUGAUAAGUGAAAGUGAAGUCGCUCAGUCGUGUCUGACUCUUAGCAACCCCAGGGACUGCAGCCCACCAGGCUCCUCCGUCCAUGGGAUUUUCCAGGAGCGAAGACUGCCUGCGGUCCUGUCCUGCCCGCCGUCUGCUGCAAGCUCUGGGGUGUCCUCCAGGACCUUGCUUCAGACAGGUCUGGGAGUCAGAAGUCUGAAAGCAAGACGCCAGCAAGGCCACAUGCUCACUGAAGUUUCCAUAAGAGAAGCCUUCCUGGCUUCUUCCAGCUUCUGGUGGUUCAAGGUGUUUGUUACCUGUGGUUGCAUGAAUCUUAUCGUUUGUCUUCACAUGACUUUCUCCUCUGUGUCUCUGGCUUGGCCUUCUCCUCUGUAUAUCUGUGUCUCCUCCUCUUCUGUUAUUUAUAAGGAUGUAUCAUUGGAUUUAGGGUCUCCCCAUAUUAUUCAGAAUG
Long non-coding RNA from Bos taurus (domestic cattle), 806 nucleotides. The record is from Ensembl. Lineage: Eukaryota; Metazoa; Chordata; Mammalia; Artiodactyla; Bovidae.